This 370-nucleotide ribosomal RNA is filed under the name uncultured bacterium. RNAcentral describes it as "bacterial SSU rRNA". It matches the Rfam family "Bacterial small subunit ribosomal RNA", at positions 527 to 896 of the family's 1533-position model. The record is from RNAcentral.
GAACCGUGCGAACGUUGUUCGGAUUCACUGGGCUUAAAGGGCGCGUAGGCGGUGCGACAAGUCGGGGGUGAAAUCUUUCGGCCCAACCGGAAAAGGGCCCCCGAUACUGGCGCGCUGGAGGGAGGUAGGGGCAUGUGGAACUCCAGGUGGAGCGGUGAAAUGCGUAGAUAUCUGGAGGAACGCCGGUGGCGAAAGCGACGUGCUGGACCUUCUCUGACGCUGAGGCGCGAAAGCUAGGGGAGCAAACGGGAUUAGAUACCCCGGUAGUCCUAGCCCUAAACGAUGGGUACUAGGUAGUGGACUUGACAUGGGUUCACUGCCGAAGCAAAAGUGUUAAGUACCCCGCCUGGGGAGUAUGGUCGCAAGGCUG